CACGCAACGGCCGACGACCUCCCCGAGAGAGUCCAAAGCACGAUGGCGCCUCUCGGCCGUCCAGGCGCACGUCGAGGCCACGGCGGCCAUGGUGACAGCCGCCGGGUUGACGUCGGUGCCGUGGGCUCCUAUGCCGCGCGCGGCACAUUCGUAGAGCACGGUGCCACUGCCGACAAAGGGGUCCCACACGAACGAGCCUGGUCGCGCGUAGAGAUCGAGAUAGGCGCGCGCGCACUCGGGACGAAACUGUCCCGUCCACGUGAAGGUUCGCCGCUGCCUUGGAGCGCGCGCCUCGCGCUCGCGGCCAGUUCGAGAGCGCUUGCGCGCCGGCGCCGCUGUGCUUUCGGUGGUCGAGCGCUUUUUCGCCGCUCGGCCGUUCAUUUUUUUUUCGUCGGCUUCUUCUUUUUUUGUGGGCCUUUUGCGACGCCCGUGGUCGGCACCGUCGCCGUUUUUGCCUUGUGUGCCUUUUUUUUCUGCCCCUUCCCCUCUGUAUAUGUGCAAGUGUGCGCUUUCGGGUCGUCCGAAGCGCACGCCCGAGGCCGGAACGAAAAACAGACAGAAAGAAAAAAAGCAACUCUGGGAAAUCAGUAGGAGCGAUCUGCGUCGCGGGCGUUUUUCCAUUUGCGCCCAUUCCCGUUGGACGGCAGCCGCUGCCUUGCGCGGCCGUGCGCGUGCGGCACCAGACUAUUUCUUUGCAUGGGGCUCUUUUGGGGUCGGCAAGGCGACACUAGAGGAAGAGACCCAAUGCGAGCGGCAGGCCGCCGACCAACCCGAUUGCGCUACGGCACCGCUCACACCAAUUUCAUGCCCAUAGAGAUUUAAAAGACGCAACACACAACAACCACUAUGGGUGAUGGUGAAAAAAAAACGAAAAAAAAGAACGGACCAUCGACCAGCACUGGCCAUUAUUCUCUGCCCUUCGUAAACAAAAAAGUAGGCGACAGCGCAGGUGGCCUAUUGCACAUUGCGUCCGCGAUCCAUUCACGAUGCGCACGGGAUCGGUUUCAUUCUCGGCGCGAUCGAUCUGCGCUUGCGCCCCAAAAAAGGGGACGGUUGGGCGCCAACGAUUAUUGGCUUGCUAUUGUUCUUUCGGCCUCGCUCUUUGCCUCGACCGCAGGCCCACCCCCGUCGGAUUUAGACCAGGCCUCGAUCCGCGUCGCCAAUCGGCCGGCCGUCGCCUGGCGCUACAUAUGACCACACACUCUAGAAAAAAAAGACUCAAAAAAAUAAAGGAAAUGACCUCUACUCUAUAACCUGC
This 1258-nucleotide long non-coding RNA is filed under the name Pandoravirus dulcis. Its description in RNAcentral is "putative ncRNA". The record is from RNAcentral.